Long non-coding RNA from Phyllopteryx taeniolatus (common seadragon), 1522 nucleotides. RefSeq lists it as uncharacterized. The transcript has 3 exons. The record is from RefSeq and is a predicted model, not a curated record. NCBI's taxonomy places the organism in Eukaryota, Metazoa, Chordata, Actinopteri, Syngnathiformes, Syngnathidae.
ACAGAGGAAUGGGGACUUGAGCAAAAAAACAUUCAAAGGCGCAGUGCUUUUGCUAAACAUCAAAUAAACAGAGGUGAGUUGACCUUUCACCCACACUCCUACGCUUAGUUGACUAAAAACAGAUGGAAUUUUUUUUACAUUUUCUCAUUCCAAACCCUGACUUAAACCCAAUUGAGCAUCUCUGGAGACCUGAAAAUGGCUGUCCACCAACGUUCACCAUCCAACCUGACAGAACUGGAGAGGAUCUGCAAGGAGGAAUGGCAGAAGAUCCCCAAACCCAGGUCUCAAGAAACAACCAAACGACAGACAAUGUAGGACAAAGGACAUUUCUUUAGCAGGAGCAUUUCUGGUUGGAUGCCAAUCUCAGCGUUUAUCUCUGAUUGGCCAUGGCAGACUCUGUUCCUGAUUUUGCUCUGCAGAGCUCGCGCUCAGCUAACACUGUUGUACUGGAGAGGGGGUUAGAGCAUGCAAGCAAACCCAGUGAAGCGUGACACCCGGGAGAGAGAAAGGCAAAGUGAUAUCAAAAGGUUCGGGAGUAGUUCUCUGCUGCAAGAUUGCUCAUUGGACGGCGGCUGGCACUUAGUAGUUACCCAUGGCCCAGAUAUUUGUUAAUACUCACCCCCCUAUCCGCUCCACCAUCUAUCCCCCACUCCAGCCUAGUAACCCUCCUCCCACGAAUUGGCCCUUGGUGCUCCCGCCCUCCCCCUCAAACUACCCCCUUCCGCUCAGCCGCAUUGCUGAAAAACAACAGAUCUAAUCUGACCCUAUUGCCAAAGCUCAUAGGAGCUCACAGUUAAAAUACUACAGGGUGUCCCUUAAGUUGACGGCAACAUGGUUUUAUUGUCCACGUACAUCUUGCUAAACGCCUCAACAUUUUGUAUCAAAAAUUUUGGAAGUCAUUUUGAAGAUGUUAUUUGUUAAUAUUCCAACUGCAUAAAAUGUUGCUGAAAAUGUCAUUUGUUGAACAUAUGCAUUUUUGCCCAUGUGUCCAGACUUUAGGGACUCCGUGUACAGUUCCAAGACUCCAAACAAACUUAUAGGGUGUUUUACUAUUUUUACACGGGACAGUAGGAAUUAGAGGGGGAAAUGCAAACCAUUGGUUGCAUCCCUUAUCCACAUUAUGAUUUUGCCGACAGCAUGCUUUUAUUUAUUUUUUUUUAAUUUUUAAAUCUGGGAGAUAAAAAAAAUAAAAUAAAAUAAAUGCUCCUAAAACACAAACACUUCCUUGAUAAUUUACUGUAUGUACUUAUUAUAUUGCAAUGCUUUAAGUUACCUGAAAUAUAAUACUUUAGGUUAUUAAUCAUACCCCUUGGGACAGAAGUUUCAAUUGUUGCAGAAAGUCAAGCUAUUUAUUAGCCCUAAUCUAGCUACUACGGCUGUUGUUUGGGUGUGUUCUCAUUGCUGAGGUGGGAUGGGUUGGAUUCGGGGGGCCUUUGCUGACACCCCCAAUAUCCCAAGCCUGUUUAAAGAUGGGAGAGAUGAGUGGGGGCAAGUACGUUCUUAAUCCGUCCCAUCUGUUGCA